GUGAGUCAUCGAAUCUUUGAACGCACCUUGCGCUCCUUGGUAUUCCGAGGAGCAUGCCUGUUUGAGUGUCAUUUACUUCUCAUCCAUACUAGCUUUUGCAGUUGGUUGUGGCAUGGAUUGUGGGGGGUUAUGCGGGCCCUUUUACUGGGGUCGGCUCCUCUGAAAAGCAUUAGUAAAACCGUUUGCGGUCAGUCAUCGGUGUGAUAAUUAUCUACGCCCAAGACAAAAGGCUGCUCUCUGUCUGUUUUGCUUCCAAUUGUCCUUUCGGACAACUUUUGAAUGCUUGACCUCAAAUCAGGUAGGACUACCCGCUGAACUUAAGCAUAUCAAUAAGCGGAGGA
Molecule: unclassified non-coding RNA, 341 nt
Filed under: Lepiota sp.
Lineage: Eukaryota; Fungi; Basidiomycota; Agaricomycetes; Agaricales; Agaricaceae
Description: partial contains 5.8S ribosomal RNA, internal transcribed spacer 2, and large subunit ribosomal RNA
Rfam family: 5.8S ribosomal RNA (bases 1-71)
Source: RNAcentral